GUAGGUGGCAAGCGUUGUCCGGAUUUAUUGGGUUUAAAGGGUGCGUAGGCGGCUUUGUAAGUCAGUGGUGAAAUACUCCAGCUCAACUGGAGAGGUGCCAUUGAUACUGCAGAGCUAGAGUACUGAUGAGGUAGGCGGAAUGGACGGUGUAGCGGUGAAAUACUUAGAUAUCGUCCAGAACACCGAUAGCGAAGGCAGCUUACUAAAGAGUAACUGACGCUGAGGCACGAAAGUGUGGGGAUCAAACAGGAUUAGAUACCCUGGUAGUCCACACUGUAAACGUUGAUCACUAGAUGUUGGCGAUACACUGCCAGCGUUCCAGCAAAAGCGAUAAGUGAUCCACCUGGGGAGUACGCCCGCAAGGGUG
This 367-nucleotide ribosomal RNA is filed under the name uncultured organism. RNAcentral's name for it is "bacterial SSU rRNA". It matches the Rfam family "Bacterial small subunit ribosomal RNA", at positions 527 to 896 of the family's 1533-position model. The record is from RNAcentral.